RNAcentral lists this transfer RNA (82 nucleotides) under Apaloderma vittatum (bar-tailed trogon). It matches the Rfam family "tRNA". Rfam says of the family: Transfer RNA (tRNA) molecules are approximately 80 nucleotides in length. Lineage: Eukaryota; Metazoa; Chordata; Aves; Trogoniformes; Trogonidae. The record is from Rfam by way of RNAcentral.
GGCCGGUUAGCUCAGUGGUUUGAGUGCGGUGCUGACAAAAACGACCAACGCCGAGGUCGCGGGUUUGAUUCCCGCUCGGUCC